This is a long non-coding RNA of Symphalangus syndactylus (siamang), 2221 nucleotides long. RefSeq lists it as uncharacterized. The record is from RefSeq and is a predicted model, not a curated record. NCBI's taxonomy places the organism in Eukaryota, Metazoa, Chordata, Mammalia, Primates, Hylobatidae.
CUCAGAAUUUUAGCUUCAGCCUCACUAACAGCAGAAGGGAACGUCUGGGGACAGGACUGUUCUAGGUGAAGGAGGGGUUGGGGACGUGCAGAUGGUAGCAGGAGGUUUUGUGGAGGAGAGGCCAAAGAGUUCACCAGGGCCAAACUUGACAGCCUUGCUCACAGGAGUCUACAGAUGCUGCUAACUCAGCCUCAAAUCUCAGACAGACGAUCUCAUCCCCACUGUGAACAAGACAUGUGUGCUCCUCCAGACAAGCAUGGCUCUGGGGCUGGCGUCUGAUUCCCAUAGUUCCUGGACUUAAUCUUGGUGUGAAAGGCCUGGAGGGAAGGAAGAAUGAGGAGCUGUGGAGUAGGGGAGGCAGCAGCAUCAAAACUGCCUAUCUGAGCAUGCGGUCCCUGUGGCUUGGAGACCCUGCCCCCUCUGGACAGAGGGAGAGGUUGUGGUCAGAAGCCUUGAAUGCCAGGAGGGCUCUUCCUUCCUCAGUCCACCUUCUCCCCCCCCCCAAAACACAGUGUUCUGGUGACUGUCUUGGAAAGAUCCUCACUCUUCAGCUUUGCACAGAGUCACAGAUGGUUGCUGAUGACCUGGGAGCUGUGGACACCCUGAGCAUGGUGCCCUCCAUGACUGAAGCUGCUCCUGUGAGGGCUUAGGAGACAAACAGAAGCUUAAGGAGGCCCAAAGAACAGCAUAAAGUGUGGAAUACUUCUGCAGAAAAAAAGAGAGGAUGCCUGUGCCCUGCGAUGGCCUCUAGGAUUUGUUGAGUCAGUCACCCAAUACGUAUUCAGGUUCAUUGCCAGCAUCACUGGGCAGAGAUUUAUCAGGAUUGCAAUGUAAAUUUAGGGUCAAGCUUUCUCUUCAGACAUCUAUUUCCAAGGGUCCACUGACCUAGAACUGAGCUGCCUGAAGCAUGCCAUCCAGAGGCCUUAAGUUCGAGGCCCGAGCAACCAGCCUGCCUUGUGACAGCGAAGGCAGGCAACAUAUUGAUCUCCGUGGUUGCUCCCUGUGCAUUUAAAUAAUAGAUCAUGGACUGGGGCUGUGGAGAGAGGAAAAUCCUGGCCGCCACUCUAUCAUUUCCCCAGCUAUGGAUUUUGUCAUUACUGUAUUUGCCUUGUGUUACAGUGGGCGAAGAUUGUAUUUGUGAUUGAUGGCAGCAGAUGGGCAAUUUAUUCUGCUGUUUACUUUUUAUGGUGGUGGAUGUGGGAGUAAAUGCAGCCAGAACACUUGGCUAAGCAUUUGCUAAUAUCCUCUAUUGACUGAGACACACAGGGAGUUUAUCUGAGGUCCAUGGACACAGCCUUGACACGGAAAAGGGGCCCAGGAUGCUCAAGAACUGUGCACUCAGGGACUGAGGAAAGGGGUGCCAGGUACUUGACACCAGUUAACCUGUGUAAGCACCAUGAUCAGCCAAGAAGCAGAUGCGAUUAUCUUCACUGUAUAGGAUUCUAUCAAGGAUCGAUGCUGCCGUCAGUGACUUUGCUCCCCUGAUUCCUUCCACCCUGAAAAUGCUUUUCCUCCAUUUCUACACAUUGUAACUCUCAAUGAAGGCAUCGAACAGCCCCUGGAUCUGGCAGAGCCCCCUGACAGCGAUAACUGAAGCCGACCCUGAGAAUGACCCUAUGGUCUAAGAAGAAUGUGUGUUCCGAGCCCCGAGCUAAGGAAUCUGAGCUCCACUCAGAUAACCACUCCUGGCCAGGCGCAGUGGCUCACGCCUGUAAUCCCAGCACUUUGGGAGGCUGAGGUGGGCGGAUUACUUGAGGUCAGGAGUUCAAGACCAGCCAGGCCAACAUGGCAAAACCCCGCCUCUACUAAAAAUACAAAAAUUAGCCAGUCAUGGUGCUGCGUGUCUAUCUCAGCUACUAGGGAGGCUGAGGCAGGAGAACUGCUUGAACCCAGGAGACAGAGGUUGCAGUGAGCAGAGAUCGCACCACUGCAGCACUCUACCGAGGUGACAGAGUAAGACUCUGUCUCAAAAAAAAAAAAAAGAAAAAAAAGAAAAGAAAUCCACUCCUUAUCCCUGAAGGACAUCUGAACCCCUGGCCCAUCCCUUGGAACCCAGUCUGUACAGGGAGUCAAGGCCCUUUGUUUUGAGUUAAGUGGAGGGUGCUACGUGAAAUGCUAUAUGAAUGGCAUGCUUUUUACCAACUGUAGUGGUUCUCCUGUCCAGCCUGCUGCUACUGUACCACCCUCAAUGCAAGUUCCCUCAAUAAACUCUGUGUCUUGA